UCGGGAAUUUUGGGCAAUGGGCGAAAGCCUGACCCAGCAACGCCGCGUGAAGGAUGAAGUAUUUCGGUAUGUAAACUUCGAAAGAAUAGGAAGAAUAAAUGACGGUACUAUUUAUAAGGUCCGGCUAACUACGUGCCAGCAGCCGCGGUAAUACGUAGGGACCAAGCGUUGUUCGGAUUUACUGGGCGUAAAGGGCGCGUAGGCGGCAAUUCAAGUCAUCUGUGAAAUCUCCGGGCUUAACUCGGAACGGUCAGAUGAUACUGCUUUGCUAGAGUGCAGAAGGGGCAAUCGGAAUUCUUGGUGUAGCGGUGAAAUGCGUAGAUAUCAAGAGGAACACCUGAGGUGAAGACGGGUUGCUGGGCUGACACUGACGCUGAGGCGCGAAAGCCAGGGGGAGCAAACGGGGAUUAGAUACCC
Molecule: ribosomal RNA, 417 nt
Filed under: uncultured bacterium
Lineage: Bacteria
Description: bacterial SSU rRNA
Rfam family: Bacterial small subunit ribosomal RNA
Source: RNAcentral